CCUACGGGGUGCAGCAGUGAGGAAUAUUGGUCAAUGGACGAGAGUCUGAACCAGCCAAGUAGCGUGAAGGAUGACUGCCCUAUGGGUUGUAAACUUCUUUUAUAUGGGAAUAAAAUGUUCCACGUGUGGGAUUUUGUAUGUACCAUAUGAAUAAGGAUCGGCUAACUCCGUGCCAGCAGCCGCGGUAAUACGGAGGAUCCGAGCGUUAUCCGGAUUUAUUGGGUUUAAAGGGAGUGUAGGUGGACUGUUAAGUCAGUUGUGAAAGUUUGCGGCUCAACCGGAAAAUUGCAGUUGAAACUGGCAGUCUUGAGUACAGUAGAGGUGGGCGGAAUGCGUGGUGUAGCGGUGAAAUGCUUAGAUAGCACGAAGAACUCCGAUUGCGAAGGCAGUUCACUGGACUGCAACUGACACUGAGGCUCGAAAGUGUGGGUAUCAAACAGGAUUAGAUACCCCUGUAGUC
Molecule: ribosomal RNA, 460 nt
Filed under: uncultured bacterium
Lineage: Bacteria
Description: partial 16S ribosomal RNA
Rfam family: Bacterial small subunit ribosomal RNA
Source: RNAcentral